UUUUUUUUUUUUUUUUUUUUUUUUNUUUUUCUUUUUUAAUGGCUAUACUCACAGCAUAUGGAAGUUCCCUGGCGGGGAGUUGAAUCCAAGCCACAGCUGCAACCUUUGUACAGCUGUGGCAAUGUCAGGUCCUUUAAUCCACUGCAUCAGGCUGGGGAUCAGAUCCCCACCUCUGCAGUAACCAGAGCUGUUGGCAGUCCGAACAGAGCUUAACCCUCUGUGCCACAGUGAGAACUCCAAUUUUCAUUUCUUUAUCUUGAUUCUCUCCUUUGGGAGUCAUGUAUAAUUUUAUCUUAUCUUGAUUUACAUGUGAUGGCCUGUUUGCUAUCUUGGUCCCCUGAGUUACUUAUUUUUUCUUGUUUGUGGUUCUCAUUGUGUAGUAUUGACUCCUCACCCCCUUCCUCCAAUCUUUUAGACAUCCCUCUAGCCAGUGCAGUACUCCUCCUUUUAAUGGCCACUGGACUACUUUAAGAUUUAAUAAGUGUUUCACGAAGUAUUGCAGUGGUCUCUUUAAUCUGUCAAGUUAGGCUCAGUUAUGUUACAGUAACAAAAGACCUAAAAGAUCUUUUGAGAUCUAAAAGACAGUUCAGGUUUAUUGCUUCUCAUGCUUCUUCCCUCCAGGCAGCAAUUAUGCUUUUGGGGCACCCCCCGUAAGAGACUCCUGGAAAAGAGCAAAGACCAAUUGCAAAAUAUGUGAUAGUGCAUUGAAGCCUCUGUUUAGUAGUGGUAUAUGCCAUUUCUGCUCAUAUGUCUCAACCAGAACAUUUACCACCAAGCUUAAAGUCAAAUGAGAAAGUAUAAUCCAUCAGUGAGAGGUAGCAGAGUCUCAUGGCCAAGCUUGAUAUCAAUGGGACGGGGAGGGAUAGCACAUAUAUGGGGAAAGGAUGUAGUCUACCAUACAUCUUAGCUGAAAUCUUUUCUAAUAAUCUGUCCUCCAAAACAUAGAUAUGUUUCUAAAACAAUUAUCAGUAUAUUUAUGCAGGUUUUUAAAACCUUUGAGUCAUAUUGGCUUCUUUUAGUAUUUUCUUUACCUGUGAUUUUUGAGUCAGAAUUUCAAUAUCUGAUAGAGUGUAGGCCUUGUAAGUUGUAUAGUUUUUAGAUCAUACAAUCAUGCUUAUUAUUUCCUCUCUUCUGAGAAAGUAGUGUGCUUCCUAUCUUCUUAAUGAUCAAUUAUUCCUUUUUGGCAAGAUGCCCAGAAUGAUAAAAUAACCAUUAAUUUGGCUUUUCACUUUUAUAGAAUCUCUGCUAAUUUGACUUGACUUUCCCCCCACCCCCUUUGCACACUCUCUCUUGCUCUGUUUUUUUAAAAUAAUGUACUAUUUCAUGUUGUUGUUCAUCACUUGUUUAUAACUUUGUAGGAUUUUUGUAUGCAUUUAUAAUGAAUGUCUCAAAGGUUAUACUUUGUGUUUUAAAUUCAGGUUGUCUCACAUUCCUCCUUAAUAGAAAAGUACUUUAGCUGUGGAUAGAUCUUGAAAAACAAAAACCAGCAAUCUUUUUAUAGAAAUUUCUUCAUUUGGCAUUUUAAUAUUGCAGAUUUAAUGGCUGUUACUUUUACGUUGUUAUAAUUUAUAUAGUUUUCAUAAUAUUACCAUAUUUUUCUCAUAGACCUAUCUAAAUGAAGUAAAAUAUUGGGUUGAAAAGCUUUAAAAAAUCCAGGAAAUAUGUGCAGUUCCUAUCACCCAGGGUUUUAUUGUUACCUCAGUGAUUUGUACCACAUAUGGGACUUUGAAAAUCUUGCUUUUGUAGUUUUGAAGGAACACUUAAGAAUUUUUGGCAUAAUGCUGAAAUUUUUUUGGGGGGGGGGAUUUCUAAAAUUCAUAUCAGGAGUUUGUCAUGGUGUAGCAGAAACAAAUCCGACUAGGAACCACAAGGUUGCAGGGAUCAAACCUGCAUCUUCAUUACCAUUGAGCCACAAUGGGAACUCCUGGCCUUUUUAAUCUAUAAAAUCUGCCAUACCUACAUAAUUUGAAGGGCACAGAAGGAGCCAGAGCCAGCGGUGGCUCCCUUCUUAACCUUCCAACUAUCCCAUCAGGGAAAUGGUUGCUGAUUUUUAUUCUCUGCUUGCUGCUAUGGCUCUUAUAGUCUUACAUUAAAUCUGCCCAUAAUUUGGGGAUUAGAGAUCGUGGCUUGCCAGCUUGAAAAUCCAGUCGUUCUUGUAGUUAAUUAUUUACUAGUAUUGACACAGAAACAUGUGUAUACACAACCUGAUUUCUUUAUUUUUCAGCAGCUAUUUCUUUUAUUCUUCAAACAGUGACUUUGGGGGAGGUAGAAGGGGGUUCGGAACUAUUUCUGAGGAGAAAUGCUUUCUUAGAACUAUUGCAUAAAGAACAUUUUAUAAGUCUGAAAUCACAUUGUGAUAUUUCAAUAUAAUAUUGUACUACUUUACAGAAUGUCAAAUCUUAAUGGUAAGGUGAUUUUGAAAACCUCAGUAAUAAUGACUGUUGUUACUGAGUGGACACCUGGGGUUAACUGCUAUAUAUUCUUAGCAUCAUUUGUGAUGUUGAUUUGAAGAAAUUUUUGCAGAUGAGGUAUGUUUUCUGGCUUUAUGUAUUUGUCAAGUUAAAUACAAACUUUGUCCCUCAAAAAUAAUAAAAUUUAAUAGAGUAAAAGGGAAAAUUAUAUUUGCAAUAUUCUAUAGUUUUUAAUACCUUAGUGACAUUAUUUCUCUUUAAAAGAUUUGCUUAGGAGUUCCCAUGGUGGCUCAGUGGUUAACAAACCUGACUGGCAACCAUGAGGAUGUGGGUUCAAUCCCUGGCCUCUAUCAGUGAGCUAAGGAUCACCAGAUGCUGUGAGCUGUGGUGUAGGUCGCAGACAUGGCUCGAAUCUGGCAUUGCGGUGACUGUGGUGUAGUCCAGUGGCUGCAGCUCCAAUUCAACCCGUAGCCUGAGAACCUCCAUAUGCCGCAGGUGCAGCCCUAAAAUGACCAAAAAAAAAAAAAAAA
This 2941-nucleotide long non-coding RNA is filed under the name Sus scrofa (pig). RNAcentral's name for it is "lncRNA (ENSSSCG00040066408.1)". Lineage: Eukaryota; Metazoa; Chordata; Mammalia; Artiodactyla; Suidae. The record is from RNAcentral.